ACUUCCAUUUAAAAGUGAAACUGAUACAGUACUGGUUUCCUCUGAUGUUGCCAUUUUCCCUGAGGUUGCUAAAGAAAACGGCAUGAACUUCUUUACUUCUCUUGGACAAUCCAAGAGAUUGUCCAAGAGAAGUUUUUUUUUUUUUUAGAAACUUCUUUUGAGGAAUCCUACAUCACUGGAAGAUCAUCAGGGCUUCUCUGGAUACUGCUCUGAAAUGAACAACCACAAAAGAAUAUUAAGCAGGAUAAUUCUGUGAAAAUAGAACAGACUAUACCUAUAUUUGCUAUGGUGGAAGAGACCAACCAAACUAAAAAAAAUGAGCUGAGUCUAGCCAGGGGCUGCAGAGGAAAAUAUUCAGAAAUAUCUGGUUCUCUGGAACAAUAUUCCCUAGGAAUAUUGCAAGGGGCAGCAGAAAACCUGCAGCACCAAGCUCAUUUGAUAUCAAGUAAGCCUGUGGAACUAGUUUUCCUUGGAAGAAUGCAUGUUUCCUAAAUAUUUCCUAAAUCUUGAGAAGUGAAAUGUUCAGCAGUGGUUAGGGAAAAAAAAUUCUGCACAUUUUUGCAACGUCUAAACUAGCAGUAUCAAUUUCACAGAUACAAGCAAAAUUCUUUGAAUAUGGUGUUGACUAAAAACAGGAAAUCCCCACCUGUGAGGACACGCAGUACAUUUCCAGUUUUCAGAACAGAUUGUGGGAAUGCUCACAAGAUGGCUACCAUGAGCAACUUGUCCAUUUAUAAAAUGGCUACCAUAAACUAAGCUCAAAGCACCAAUUUACCAGUAGUCAGACUGCUAAAAUUAUUCAUUCUUCACUACUCUUGUGUCACCUCCUCAAAAUACAUCUGACCAACCAUAAUUUACUUCUUUUAUUUUUUUUCUACCCCCAAAUGGCUGUCCUUAUCAAUUCUUGCACAUUUUUUUCAAAGUCUGAACUAACAUUUCAGAAAUUCUGCAGAGAGGAGGAUGUUGACAAGCUGAGAAGCAUUCAGCCACAAACCAUAAGAGCCUCAAAGACAAAUCCGGCAAGAAAAGACUAAAAUCACUAGAUAUGUAGAGAAAAUAAGACUAAGUAGGGAUGUUCUGACAGGUUUCAAAUAUUUGAAAUAAUCUCAAACAGAAGAGAAGGAUAGAACUAUUUUUCACUUUAUCUACCAAGAAGAAAAGGAAACUGUGUUAAAACAACAAAAGGGCAGCCCUAAACAUUAGGAAGUUGUCCAAAACACUAAAUGAACUCAGAGGUUUAUGAAAUCAUUUUUCUUGAAAGCCUUCAAGAGGAUGGUCACUCUUUAAAAUCUGAUGGGAUACAAUCAAGAUCAAGUGAGAUACUAAUACCAUUCUAUAAAGCCCUAGUAAGACCACACCUAGA
This is a long non-coding RNA of Thamnophis elegans (Western terrestrial garter snake), 1363 nucleotides long. RefSeq lists it as uncharacterized. The record is from RefSeq and is a predicted model, not a curated record. The transcript has 3 exons. NCBI's taxonomy places the organism in Eukaryota, Metazoa, Chordata, Lepidosauria, Squamata, Natricidae.